UUGGUCAAUGGCCGAAAGGCUGAACCAGUAACUUGGAAGAAUGAAUGUAUUAUUAAACUAAUACAAUAACGAUUUUUGUGUAUAAAAUUCUAAAUAGGAUAAAGAUAAUGACAAUUUUCUAUUUAUAAGUCUUGACCAAAUUACGUGCCAGCAGUCGCGGUAAUACGUAAGAGGCUAGUAUUAAUCAUCUUUAUUAGGUUUAAAGGGUACCUAGACGGUAAAUUAAACUCUUAUUGAGUACUUUUUUACUAGAGUUUUAUGAGAGAAGGGAGAAUUUCUGGAGUAGUGAUGGAAUCUUAUGAUACCAGGAGGACUGAUAACGGCGAAGGCAUCCUUCUAUGUAAAAACUGACGUUGAGGGACGAAGGCUUGGGUAGCGAUAAGGAUUAGAUACCCCAAUAGUCCAAGCAGACAAUGAUGAAUGUCAUAGGCUAGAUAAUUUUUUAUUUCAUUUAGUCUAUAAAUGAAAGUGUAAGCAUUCCACCUCAAGAGUAAUAUGGCAACAUAUAAACUGAAAUCAUUUGACCGUUUCUGAAAUCAGUAGUGAAGUAU
RNAcentral lists this ribosomal RNA (551 nucleotides) under Aspergillus campestris. RNAcentral's name for it is "SSU rRNA". It matches the Rfam family "Bacterial small subunit ribosomal RNA", at positions 364 to 940 of the family's 1533-position model. The record is from RNAcentral. Lineage: Eukaryota; Fungi; Ascomycota; Eurotiomycetes; Eurotiales; Aspergillaceae.